AGUUUCUCCAGCAUGUCACACUUGUGGACCUUCCUGGAAAUGGCGAUUGCAACAAGAGCAGGAACGAAAUGUGGAGACAAAUUGUUGGAGAUUGUUCUACUGUGUGGAUUGUGGCUGAAAUUACUCGGGCAGCAUCAGAGAAUGAGGCCUGGGAGAUUCUAAAAAGUGCACAUGGCCUCAUUGGAAAUGGUGGUCAGUGUGAGCAAAUUCACUUUAUCUGCACCAAGUCUGAUCCUUCAGA
This is a non-coding RNA of Maylandia zebra (zebra mbuna), 241 nucleotides long. Lineage: Eukaryota; Metazoa; Chordata; Actinopteri; Cichliformes; Cichlidae. The record is from RefSeq and is a predicted model, not a curated record.